RNAcentral lists this ribosomal RNA (475 nucleotides) under Ramaria stricta. RNAcentral describes it as "mitochondrial SSU rRNA". It matches the Rfam family "Bacterial small subunit ribosomal RNA", at positions 399 to 925 of the family's 1533-position model. Lineage: Eukaryota; Fungi; Basidiomycota; Agaricomycetes; Gomphales; Gomphaceae. The record is from RNAcentral.
GAGUGAACUAGCUAACUGGAAUCACAUUUGUGUCAUUUGUGAUAAUGUAAAGGAAAAAUAAUGAUGUCACUUUACUAUUAGUGUUGUCUAAAGCUGGUGCCAGAAGACUCGGUAAUGCCAGAGACGCGAGCGUUAAUCAUCAUAAUCAGGCGUAAAGGGUGUGUAGGCGGCUUUGAUAAAAUUAAAGCUAGAAUCAUAUAGAGGUUAAAUACCAGAGAAUUAUUUGAGUAAGGAUGAUAUCUUUAGAUACAUUUAAGAAUUCUAAUUAGCGAAGGCUCUUUUCCAAUUAAUGAUUGACGCUGAGAAACGAAGGUUUGGAACGACAAUAGGAUUAGAUACCCCCGCAUCCCUCUCUGUCAACGAUGAAUGGUAGUUGUUAGUUCUAAUGAACUAGUGGCGAUGUUAACGCGUUAACCAUUCCGCCUUGUGAGUACGAUUGCAAAGUUGAAAACAAAAAAAUUAGUCGGUUUCGGAG